UACAGAGGGUGCGAGCGUUAAUCGGAAUUACUGGGCGUAAAGCGCGCGUAGGCGGUUUUGUAAGUCGGGUGUGAAAUCCCCAAGCUUAACUUGGGAACUGCAUUCGAGACUGCAUAGCUAGAGUAUGGGAGAGGGAAGUGGAAUUUCAGGUGUAGCGGUGAAAUGCGUAGAUAUCUGAAGGAACAUCAGUGGCGAAAGCGACUUCCUGGACCAAUACUGACGCUCAUGUGCGAAAGCGUGGGGAGCAAACAG
Molecule: ribosomal RNA, 252 nt
Filed under: uncultured prokaryote
Description: partial 16S ribosomal RNA
Rfam family: Bacterial small subunit ribosomal RNA
Source: RNAcentral